This 164-nucleotide small nuclear RNA is filed under the name Echinops telfairi (small Madagascar hedgehog). RNAcentral's name for it is "U1 spliceosomal RNA (ENSETEG00000022051.1)". It matches the Rfam family "U1 spliceosomal RNA". Rfam says of the family: U1 is a small nuclear RNA (snRNA) component of the spliceosome (involved in pre-mRNA splicing). The record is from RNAcentral. Lineage: Eukaryota; Metazoa; Chordata; Mammalia; Afrosoricida; Tenrecidae.
AUACUUACCUGGCUGGGGAGAUACCAUGAUCACGCAGGUGGUUUUCCCAGGAUGAGGCUUAUCCAUUGCACUCCCGAUGUGCUGACCCCUGAAAUUUCCCCAAAUGUGGGAAACUCGACUGCAUAAUUUGUGGUAGUUGGGGACUGUGUUCUUGCUCUCCCCUG